GUGUCAGCCGCCGCGGUAAUACGUAGGGGGCGAGCGUUAUCCGGAAUUACUGGGUGUAAAGGGUACGUAGGCGGCCGUGUAAGUCAGGUGUGAAAGGCUAGGGCUCAACCCUAGUGAGCACUUGAAACUGCAUGGCUUGAGUCGAGGAGAGGAAAGUGGAAUUCCUGGUGUAGCGGUGAAAUGCGUGGAUAUCAGGAGGAAUACCAGUGGCGAAGGCGACUUUCUGGCCUUAGACUGACGCUGAGGUACGAAAGCGUGGGGAGCAAACAGGAUUAGAUACCCUGGUAGUCCACGCCGUAAACGAUGAGUGCUAGGUGUCGGGACAUAAGUUUCGGUGCCGAAGUUAACACAUUAAGCACUCCGCCUGGGGAGUACGGUCGCAAGACUGAAACUCAAAGAAAUUGACGG
RNAcentral lists this ribosomal RNA (408 nucleotides) under uncultured bacterium. Its description in RNAcentral is "bacterial SSU rRNA". It matches the Rfam family "Bacterial small subunit ribosomal RNA", at positions 505 to 916 of the family's 1533-position model. The record is from RNAcentral.